Molecule: ribosomal RNA, 497 nt
Filed under: uncultured bacterium
Lineage: Bacteria
Description: partial 16S ribosomal RNA
Rfam family: Bacterial small subunit ribosomal RNA
Source: RNAcentral
GAUGGACGCUGGCGGCGUGCCUAAUACAUGCAAGUCGAGCGAACGGACGAGAAGCUUGCUUCUCUGAUGUUAGCGGCGGACGGGUGAGUAACACGUGGAUAACCUACCUAUAAGACUGGGAUAACUUCGGGAAACCGGAGCUAAUACCGGAUAAUAUUUUGAACCGCAUGGUUCAAAAGUGAAAGACGGUCUUGCUGUCACUUAUAGAUGGAUCCGCGCUGCAUUAGCUAGUUGGUAAGGUAACGGCUUACCAAGGCAACGAUGCAUAGCCGACCUGAGAGGGUGAUCGGCCACACUGGAACUGAGACACGGUCCAGACUCCUACGGGAGGCAGCAGUAGGGAAUCUUCCGCAAUGGGCGGAAGCCUGACGGAGCAACGCCGCGUGAGUGAUGAAGGUCUUCGGAUCGUAAAACUCUGUUAUUAGGGAAGAACAUAUGUGUAAGUAACUGUGCACAUCUUGACGGUACCUAAUCAGAAAGCCACGGCUAACUACGUG